ACUCAAAUGAAUAGACGGGGACCCGCACAAGCGGUGGAUGAUGUGGAUUAAUUCGAUGCAACGCGAAAAACCUUACCUACCCUUGACAUGCCAGGAAGGCUCCAGAGAUGGGGCUGUGCCCGAAAGGGAGCCUGGACACAGGUGCUGCAUGGCUGUCGUCAGCUCGUGUCGUGAGAUGUUGGGUUAAGUCCCGCAACGAGCGCAACCCUUGUCGUUAAUUGCCAUCAUUGAGUUGGGCACUUUAACGAGACUGCCGGUGACAAACCGGAGGAAGGUGGGGAUGACGUCAAGUCCUCAUGGCCCUUAUGGGUAGGGCUUCACACGUCAUACAAUGGUCGGUACAGAGGGUAGCCAAGCCGCGAGGUGGAGCCAAUCCCGAAAAGCCGAUCGUAGUCCGGAUCGUAGUCUGCAACUCGACUACGUGAAGUCGGAAUCGCUAGUAAUCGCGGAUCAGCAUGUCGCGGUGAAUACGUUCCCGGGUCUUGUACACACCGCCCGU
RNAcentral lists this ribosomal RNA (499 nucleotides) under uncultured bacterium. Its description in RNAcentral is "bacterial SSU rRNA". It matches the Rfam family "Bacterial small subunit ribosomal RNA", at positions 899 to 1397 of the family's 1533-position model. The record is from RNAcentral.